UGUUUCGGCAAGGGGGUCAUCCCGACUUACCAACCCGAUGCAAACUGCGAAUACCGGAGAAUGUUAUCACGGGAGACACACGGCGGGUGCUAACGUCCGUCGUGAAGAGGGAAACAACCCAGACCGCCAGCUAAGGUCCCAAAGUCAUGGUUAAGUGGGAAACGAUGUGGGAAGGCCCAGACAGCCAGGAUGUUGGCUUAGAAGCAGCCAUCAUUUAAAGAAAGCGUAAUAGCUCACUGGUCGAGUCGGCCUGCGCGGAAGAUGUAACGGGGCUAAACCAUGCA
Molecule: ribosomal RNA, 284 nt
Filed under: Escherichia coli
Lineage: Bacteria; Pseudomonadati; Pseudomonadota; Gammaproteobacteria; Enterobacterales; Enterobacteriaceae
Description: partial 23S ribosomal RNA
Rfam family: Bacterial large subunit ribosomal RNA
Source: RNAcentral